GAUGAACGCUGGCGGCGUGCCUAAUACAUGCAAGUCGAGCGAACGGACGAGAAGCUUGCUUCUCUGAUGUUAGCGGCGGACGGGUGAGUAACACGUGGAUAACCUACCUAUAAGACUGGGAUAACUUCGGGAAACCGGAGCUAAUACCGGAUGAUAUUUUGAACCGCAUGGUUCAAAAGUGAAAGACGGUCUUGCUGUCACUUAUAGAUGGAUCCGCGCUGCAUUAGCUAGUUGGUAAGGUAACGGCUUACCAAGGCAACGAUGCAUAGCCGACCUGAGAGGGUGAUCGGCCACACUGGAACUGAGACACGGUCCAGACUCCUACGGGAGGCAGCAGUAGGGAAUCUUCCGCAGUGGGCGAAAGCCUGACGGAGCAACGCCGCGUGAGUGAUGAAGGUCUUCGGAUCGUAAAACUCUGUUAUUAGGGAAGAACAUAUGUGUAAGUACUGUGCACAUCUUGACGGUACCUAAUCAGAAAGCCACGGCUAACUACGUG
RNAcentral lists this ribosomal RNA (496 nucleotides) under uncultured bacterium. RNAcentral describes it as "partial 16S ribosomal RNA". It matches the Rfam family "Bacterial small subunit ribosomal RNA", at positions 28 to 507 of the family's 1533-position model. The record is from RNAcentral.